GUGGGGAAUCUUCCACAAUGGACGAAAGUCUGAUGGAGCAACGCCGCGUGAGUGAAGAAGGGUUUCGGCUCGUAAAGCUCUGUUGUCGGGGACGAAUGUGCAGUAUUUGAAUAAAGUACUGCAAUGACGGUACCUGACGAGGAAGCCACGGCUAACUACGUGCCAGCAGCCGCGGUAAUACGUAGGUGGCAAGCGUUGUCCGGAAUUAUUGGGCGUAAAGGGAGCGCAGGCGGGAAGGUAAGUCGGUCUUAAAAGUGCGGGGCUCAACCCCGUGAUGGGAUCGAAACUAUCUUUCUUGAGUGCAGGAGAGGAAAGUGGAAUUCCUAGUGUAGCGGUGAAAUGCGUAGAUAUUAGGAGGAACACCAGUGGCGAAGGCGACUUUCUGGACGAUGUCUGACGCUGAGGCGCGAAAGCUAGGGGAGCGAACGGGAUUAGAAACCCGAGUAGUCC
RNAcentral lists this ribosomal RNA (450 nucleotides) under uncultured bacterium. RNAcentral describes it as "partial 16S ribosomal RNA". It matches the Rfam family "Bacterial small subunit ribosomal RNA", at positions 354 to 796 of the family's 1533-position model. The record is from RNAcentral.